This 9394-nucleotide long non-coding RNA is filed under the name Citrus maxima (pomelo). RNAcentral describes it as "long non-coding RNA (CMAX_LNC002363)". The record is from RNAcentral. Lineage: Eukaryota; Viridiplantae; Streptophyta; Magnoliopsida; Sapindales; Rutaceae.
GAUCUUCCUUGCUUGGCCAUAUCUUCCUCAAUUUCAUUAAAAGCAUCUAAGAGUGUCCUGUAAAUCAAUUUCAUGUAUUCUGGAAGCGUAUCUACGGCCUCAAUAUUCCAUCUGGAAAUCAAUGUAAUAACCAUUUUAUAAUAAUAGCAACAAAAAUUUGAUUCUGAAAUUCAAAAUUAAUUAGCUAUACGCAGGGCACUAACCUUUGAACUGCUUCAGUAAAGAGGCUGAGUUCUUCAAGUGUACCAUAAGCAUCAUAAGUAUCAUCUAUGAUGGAUAAUAUGUAAUUUAAUUGGGUCAUUAUCUUUCUCCCAAAUGCAUAUUGAGGCUCGAAGUAUGUCCCUAAAUCCCAAAAAUAUAACUCCACUAAUCUGUCUCUUGCAUAAGGUAGUUUUGUAGUGAAGUCUAAAUCUUUCCACCACCUGAAAUAAGAAUAUAUACAUGUGUCACGAUUCUAUUGAUUGGAUGUACGACGGAGGUAUAAAAGAAUUUCUCCCUAUCGAAAGAACUUACUUUGUUAAUUCAUUGAGUUCCUCCUUGUGUAGCUCUAGCAAUAUGUUAAAAUCUAACUUUGCAAAAUUCAGCAGAGUUAUAUUGUGUAAAUGAUCACUUGUUGAAUUGAUCAUGGACAUAAAAUACCUCGCCUCUAAUCUUGGUAGGGUUUUACGAAGAGGACGGUAUAAAGCAUGAUUUAUCUGUUCCGCAAGCUUAGGGUUACAUGAUCCUGAGCUACCAAUGACUUCAGGUGAGUGGUAGUGAAAGCAAUGGCUUCAUCUAAUAUAUCUUCUCCGCGAAUUGCCAUGUAUGCUGCCUCGUACAAACUUAACAUCCCUUGAACAUCGUUUAUCAACGAUGACUUGAAUCUACCCUCAUCAUCUUUGAACUUCUCAAACACAUCUGAUUAUCACAUUCAAAAAGUAAAUUACUGAAGGCUUACAUGAUUAAUAAUUAGUCAAUGAUUUUGUAAUUUCAAUAAUGCUAGAGCCACAAAUUCUUCAUACAUUACAAACUCAUCAAGUCGCAUCAUAAUUUUGGUUAGAUAAAAAUAUCAUUACAAACUCAUGAAGUCGCACCAUAAUUUUGGUUAGAUAAAAAUACCACAUGACUUAUUUUCAUUAUUAUUUUUAUUAAUCAAUCAAUACUCUUAUAUGAAAAAAAAAAAAAAGUAGGGUGAGGGUAAAAUCUAAAUUGAUAUUUUAGCCCCGGCCUAGCUUACAAUAUUCAAACUCAAGUGAUUGGCUAAAGAAAACUACUUGAAAAUCAGUCGUCCAAAUCUCUGGGGACAAAUACAAUAAAAAGUGUUUGUGGCUGUCGCAUUACUCACAAUUGUAAUAGCUUGAGUGAGAUUACAUACCACAUGAAAUCUUGAUUCCUUGCUGCCUAAGCAAUCGAAAAUGAAGAGAAACGGUGUGAAGAUCAGGGCUAUUACUGUCAAUAUAGUUUGGACAUAACUUUUGUAUUGCAUCUUCUAUUUCUUUCUCAAAGUGAUAAGCCACCCCCAGGCGUUGUACUUCAUCAAUCAAGCGUAACUUCUGAACAGGCUUAUCUUCAGCAUCUGUUAUCAUUCUCCUUACCUCUUCUUUCAGUGCCUCGUGUCGUUCUUGAGUUGCAGUAUGAUCAACUGUCUGAAGCACAAAAAAUAAUUUGUUAAAUUCAUACAAUAUCUGAUGAAUGGUCAAUUUAAAAAAAAAAAAAGCUGCUUUAAAACCAUUUGGUCAAACUCCUGAAGAUACGGUACAUGCUCACUUAACAAAUCGAGUCAUAUAUGGGAUGUUUGGGUUCAUCUUUACCUUGAAAUCAGAAGCACCUUUGAGGAAAUGGUUUCUCCAUAAACUAGGAUGGAAAUCUGCAGUAGGACGAAAUGUUUCUCCAGACGACAUUUUUGUGUCAGACAAACGGGUGCUGCAGAAUUUUGAUAUUUCUGUGGAAUUAUAAUUUGUAUUUCUACUACUACUGCACCCUUUAAUAUAUACUAAUUCGAUUAUAUCAAGACGGACGCAUGCAACUUGUCUUGAAAGCCUUUUAAUUUAAUUUAUUAUCAAUUCCGAUUCAUUUAAACGCUUGGAUGCAUGGAAACCACGUGAUGGGUCAAUUUUUGACUUUCUGUUAGAUUCUCAAAAUUGUGUCAAUUUUUUUUUCUUUUUCUUUUUGGCCUAUUUAUAACUUAUGGUUUUAAUGGAAAGAUUUUAGUGCAUAUCUGUAUCAUAUUGACAAGUGACAACAACUAGUGUAUUUACUGGGAUAAUUAUUUUUCAGGUAACUCGUUCUCUGUUUAAUCGCAACAAAAUGGCUUGUCUCUAAUUAGAGUUUGAUUAUAUGUUUAAGCUCUUGGUUCUAUUUAGAGUUAGGACUCCAGAAAGUGUUCGUAGAGUUUACACGUACAAGAGAAAUUUUGUUGCUUGCAAUAUUUGGCAUGUAAGGCGGAUGAAAAAUAGGCUUGGGCAUAUGUAUUACAUUGUUUCGGAGUUAGUGCUGAGAUUUUGGCUAACUUUUUAGAAAUAUAUAAUUAGUAGUUAUUUGGAUAAAAAUAUAAAACUAAUUAAAUUUUAACUAUGUAUACGUUUAGGUAUGGAAAAAUACUAUAAAAAGUUUAGCACAGUUAAACUCAGUAUUGGAUCCAAAUCUGUAAUACAUGGGAACUAUUGAACCUAUCAAGAAGAGCUGACUUGUUAGAAAGAAGAUAUCUUGAUAAAGUUGGCAUGUCUCUUGUAAAGAGAAAAAAAAAAAUUAUUAGAAAAGAGAUGGCAUAAAACCAUUAGUAAUUUUGUUGCCUUAAAAACAAAAAUUUAAUGAAGAUCGAACGUCGUGAGCAAAAACGGAAUUCAAAAAUAAAUUUCGUGAUUAAGAAAUUUAUGAAUUAUUCACAGGAUUACAAUUUCUUGAGAAUUAAGUAGUCAAAAUAGGAGAGCUAACCGAAUUUAAUUUGAUCUAAUUUAUUUAACCAACAGUCCGUAAUUAAUUGGAUUUGAUUUGAUUUUCUUAUUUUUUUAUUCAACUCAAUCUUCCAAGGACGAAAUAAAAUUUGAUCCAAUUUUAUUCAAUUUAAAAAUAACCAAUCUAAAUAACAACAAAAUCAUAUUGUAAAUAUCGAUUCGAAUCAAAUUAAUUAAUUUAAAAGUAUAGUAUUUUCAAAAUAUUUUUUAGAUAUGAUGGUUUUGAGUUUUUAAUCUAUAAUACGUGAUGGAAUGGGGUCAGGUACAAUUUCUAGUACUUUCAUAAAAAGAUUUUAGAUACACGGGUUUUGACCUUUUAUUCUAUAAUACAUGAUGGAGAGAGAUCAGAUAUAAUUAAAAUAAUUCUAUAUUUAUUUUUUUAUUAUAUUUUAUUAUAUAAUAAUGGAGAUUGAUUUUUUUUAGUAAUUAUAGCUAUUUUAAAUUUUUUAUUCCAGAUUUUAUCUUAAAUGAUCGGUUAUUUAUUAAAUGGUUGAUAAUUUUUUUAUAAGAUUCAGGUAAAUUAAUUGUAUUAUCUUAUCAUCCAAUUGAUGUAUGUUAUAUCACUUGGAUAUUUUUUAGGAUAAAAAAUUUAGAAUGUAUGGCACUACUCUUUUUUUUUUUUUUUUGGUGAGAUUAUUUGAACCCACUAAAUUACUCUCAACACUAAUUUGCUUAAUAAAUCCAUGACUAAAGUUUAAAAAUAAAAAUUUACUUUAUAUGCUCACCUAAAUGCCCGAUUUACCCCUAUCUCUUUGUAACAUUAUUUGAAAAGCAAAAAGAAGAGAAAGGGGAAAAAACUUGACAUGGUAUCUUUUAGAUCGGAAAAGAGAGAAGCUUGAUUGUUGGAAUACAUAGAUAAUCCAAAUCCAAAUCUCAUUUCCAUCUUAAAUCGGUAAUCCAAUUUGGCUACCAUUACAACCAGUAAGUUUAUUUUUUCAAAUUAGAAUACAACAUGCACUACUAGAAAAAUGGUCUUUACUGAUACUUAGUUCGUGACACUUUAUUAAAAAGUAUCAGUAUUUACAUAUAUAUGGACCAUUUUCCGUGUUUAACAUAUAAGUAUCACAAAAUACUAAUACUAUGGUGUCUCUAAAUUAAACAUCAGAGAUUACUGACACUAAAGUAUCUGUAAAAAAUUUAAAGUAAUUCUGAUAUUGGUCCCGAUAAAACUUGAACCCAAGACCUAUAAAAAUUAAGCUUUUAAGUUUUAAACAAAAGCCAUUAUAAUUUUUUGCAAUGACACUAAGGUAUCGCUAACUGUUAAAAAAAAACAAAAACAAAAACACACGCACGCAUUCACACAUGACACCUCACCCCACACACUCACAAGACGCAAAAACAAACCCUAAGUCCUUAACAAUUAACAUUACAAUACUUUGAAAGAGAGAGAGAGAGCGCCGCUACUCUCGAUCCAGUGCUCCAACACCGGCUCAGAUCUCUCGCUUUUAUAUCACCGCGUCAAGCCUCUCCGUCAUGCCGUCAAGCCUCCAUCAAGUGUCACUGCUUCAAGCCUCCAUCAAGUGUCAUUGCGUCAAGCCUCUCUGUCACGCUGUCAAGCUUCCAUCAUGCGUCACCGCGUCAAGCCUCUCUCCGCUGUCAUAAGCCACCGAUGCGGCACCGCGCCAUUGGUAGUGUCGUUAAGGUGCACCAAAUUUAAAACCUUACCACUAAUAUAAAUAAUUAGUACAGAGCGAGUAAGGAUUGAUCCCACAGAGAUUAUACUAGUUAUAUUUAUUAUUAACUCUAAAGCAAGAUUUGAAAUAAAAUAAUGGUAGUAAUAAUAAGAGUAAUAAUAAUAUAAAUUAAUCUAACUAAAGAAAAUGCCAAUUAUAAAUAAAAAGGGGGUUUAUGAAUUUUUUAACUAAAUAGUAAGAAGUAAAGAAAUUAAAACUACGAACAAGAAUUUAAUAAAAACUCUAAUUAAAAGAAAAAGAAAUAAUAAUGAUGAAAACUUUGGUUAAAGGAUGAUUCGCCACCACCAAACAUGCACAUAAUAUAUCAAUUCUAUUAUCAAUUUAUAUUGAAACUAUCAACCGUAGACAACAAUAAGCUCUGUUAGUCUCAAUCUUUCCUUAGUGUGUUGUUAGGCAAAACAAGCUCUUCACAUAAUCUCUAACCAUUAAAUAAUUUAAAACAAGCUCUUUCAAUUUAAGAUAAUGGAAGCAUUAAAUAAAGAAAGAUAUUAUGUUGAUCUAGGCAAUAAACACACAAGCUCGGAUUAUUUAACCUAGGUUAUGUUCUUCAAUUGAAAUCACUAAUUCCAACCUGCUACUAAUGAUUAAAAUAUCAAGACAAUUACGGAUCAAGAAUUUUAAUCUAGCAAUAAAAUUUAUUCAAGUCCUAUCUAAUUGGCCACUCAAAUAAAACAAGAAUAAACCAUGAACAUUAAUUAUAGAAGAACAUAAACAAUCUCAAUUAAAUAAAUUGAAUGAUAGAAUUUAAAUUUAAUUGCAUAGCAUGUUUAGGGUUUUGAAUUCACCCUCAACCAAAUAAAAAUCUAGCCUAACAUAAUUGAAUUGGGAAUAAGAGAAUUGAUAAAACCAGUCAUGGAGAUUAAUUCAAGCGGCUGCCUUUGCUUCAAUUUUAAUUCCUUCCGGCGUCUCCCUUGUUUUUUUCCUUCUUGCAGCUGCAAUCUCAAAUUCUCUUGCUACCGAUUCUCCUCCAGUGUUGCUUCUGCUUGAUCCUAUUUAUAAUGCUUCAAUUGUGGCUUUUUUAAAUCCUUGCCUGGAAAGAAUUAAAUUCAAAGCCCAAAACCGCCACUUUCAUGCUUCAAUUAAUAAGCCAAUAAUGAUUUCCUAAAGCCAAAAGGCUUUAUUCUCUUUCCUUUCAUGUGGCCACUUUUGAUUUGCAAUCUUUGUUUUCCAAUUUUGCUUUCAUGUGAUGGCUUGGCUUGUUAAUUGGCUUGGCUUCCUUUUUGACUUUCAUUUUCUAAUUUUAGCUCCAUGUACAACAUUAAUUUUGCUUGGCCGAUACAAGCUUUAAUUAAAUUUAUUUUCUAAUUCCUUUCAAUUCUUGAUCUCUUGUGCACUUUUGUCUUUCAAUCUUCAAUCAAAUUUCUUUCCUGAAUGCUCCGAUUUAAUUUCUCUUUAAUUCUAGAAUAUACCUAAAAUAACAAAAUAAAUAAAACUAAGAUAAAAAUUAACACAAUAAAAUAUAAUUUACUAAAUUAAAAGUUAACUAAAAUAACUAGAAUAUUUAAGACCAAAACAAGAAAAAGAUAGAGAAAUUAAUAGCAAAAUAUAUGGAAAAUAUGCACUUAUCAGCCAUCACUAGCCAACCAGCCACCAAAAUUGACAGCCGUGCUAGCUACCCACCACCACAAUACCCUACCACUGCCUGCUAAUACUCCACAAAAUCUUCUCAAGACUUCGAGCCACAGUGUCCAGGUCUGCUUUUUCAAGUCUUGCUUUUUUAAGUUUUUAGUAUCAUCAAGUCUUGCUUCUUCAAGUCUUAAAGUGUAUCUUCAGUCACCAAUUAUAUUUAUGGGUAUUCACUGGUUCGUUGAGUAAUUUUUUCAAACAUAUGGGGUAUUGCGUCAUAACAGCCUUGUAUAUUUCUAUAUCUAAUAUUGAAUGAAUGAAUGAAUCUAUGUGUAGCUUACGAUCGAAAUGCAAAAUCAAGAGUAGUAACAAUUAAAGAACAAUUAAAAAUGAAAUGAAAGCAUAUUCACAAGUUGUUUAUUGAUUUACCUUUCAAUAAAUCUCUCUCUCACACUCACACACUCUGCUCUCUAACCUACCUUUUUGACUUGGCUCCCAAAAAAUAAUAAAGUAAAAUUUUGGUCCCAAGAAAGUUUGAUUUCUAAACAAAGGGGAAAAAAAAGUUAAAAGAAAGUAAGAUUUAUUUUACAAAUUUUACGGUGCUUCUCUUUUAGAACUGUAUGUAUAAAUAAUAAUAAUAAUAAUAAUAAUAAUAAUAAUAAUAAUAAUAUGAGUUUCAUAGAAAAUUUAAUUUAUUUGAUCAUGUUCAUUGAUAUGCUUUAACAAUGCUUUAUUAAUUCUAUUAAUUGCACUUCUUAACUCCUACUUAUCAUAUGAUUAACCCCUUAGUUUGGUUGGGAUGAUUGGUACUUUCUAUUUUUAACUUAUGGUGGAGCGUUUGAGUCUUGCGGUGACCUAUUAGUUUGGUUAAGUUGAUCGGCACUUUCUAUCUUUAACUUACGAUGGAGCAUUCGAGUCUGGCAGUAAAUAUAUAUUAGAGUUUAUUUUUUUAUUCGAAGGGAAAAUCUUUAAAUAACAAUAAAAAUAUAAAAUAUUUAUUAGUACAGACCAAUACGGUACACCGUAUUUCCUUCAAACACAAACCAAGGAACUGAAAAUAUUAUUAAUAGAAGUAUAGAACUAGUCGUCAAAAUGGAACGUGGUCUCCUAGCACAGAAGCAAUUUGAUCUUUAAUUAGGUAAGAAUGCGUAUAGCCGUCGUCCUCUUUGUAAAUAAAAUCAAUUGCACGAGCAAGAUUAAGAAUCGUCCCGAGCAGUGGUCGGGCAACGACGGUUGGCUUCAUCAUCAACUCCUCGUUAAUAUCUUUCCAUGCAUUUGCAACUUCUUCUUCAAACAUUUUAAUUGCCUCUUCCUUAGAGACACCAUGCUGCUUCGUGUAACAUUCAAUAGCUGACGCAACAUGUCCUCUCUUCUGCUCAAACUACAUAUAUAAUAACAUAUGGUUUAGUAUCGGUGCCUGUUUAGAUUGGUAUAUAUUAGGAGAUUUAUAAGUAAUUAUAGUAAUUAUUCAAAAAAUUAAAAGUUAAUUUUGAUGUAUACACACACACACCCCACUUUUCAGUGCGCAGAUUUUUUAAAAAUAUAAUAACAUAGAUUGGAGGGUUUUGAUAAAUUUUCUAUAAAAGUGCGGGGUUAUGUAAGCAGUGGAAAAAACUAUAAGGGGAUGUAGUGCCAUUUUCACUUAAUUUAAUUAGUAGUUAGUAAAGUAUUUUUUAUUUUGCAUACCUCAUGACCUUGCAUGUCAUCCAAGAGUCUGCAGAUAACUGAUGCUGCUUUUACAACCUUAGGGUUAUCGGAGAUCCAUUCAAAAACCUCUUUAGUUGCAAAAUCACCCAUCCCAAGGAAGGAAUUUGUUAUGACGAAUGUGUAAGCACAACUUGUUAGUGCAAUAGGCAUAUACUCCUCAAUUGUUGGAACGUAACCUUCACUGAACCAUUUGGCUUGAACAAAGUAUGCUCCAAUUACUUUUUGAUUCUGAGAAGCAAAACGCAGCUAAACCUUAGCCGUUAUAAAAACAAUAAUAAGAAAUAAGUUUUUAAAUUUUAAUAUACCUGUUGUGAUAUAUUAAUUUGAUCUAAUUAAUUUCUAAGAGCCAAUAAUUCAGUAAGAUUUAUGGUUGACGAGUAAGAUUUCUCAUCUCCAUCCGAACAAUACAAUAAAAAAGGAAACAGCCUCCAUCAUCGAACACACUUUUGAUAAGUUUUAUGUAACCUAAAAAAUAGCUCCAAGGGUUUAAGCUAAUUAUCCAAUUAAUUCUUACAUUUGUAAUAAUUCAGGGAGAGGUGUGAAAAUUUUAGCAAAAUUUCAGGGGGGUGAAUGAAAUAUGUCUAAAAUUUUGUGAAACUUAAAUUUACCCAUAGAUAUUUGAUGUAAUUUUGUGGGUGGAGUAGAUAUUCCUCCCAAAAUUGUGUACAAUACACAUAUCGGUAAUUUAAAGGAAAAAAAAAUAGGGAGGAUGAUGCAUACCGCCUCUUUUGCAUAACGUACGCAGUGUGAUCUUCCUUGCUUGGCCAUAUCUUCCUCAAUUUCAUUAAAAGCAUCUAAGAGUGUCCUGUAAAUCAAUUUCAUGUAUUCUGGAAGCGUAUCUACGGCCUCAAUAUUCCAUCUGGAAAUCAAUUUAAUAACCAUUUUAUAAUAAUAGCAACAAAAAUUUAAUUCUGAAAUUCAAAAUUAAUUAGCUAUACGCAGGGCACUAACCUUUGAACUGCUUCAGUAAAGAGGCUGAGUUCUUCAAGUGUACCAUACGCAUCAUAAGUAUCAUCUAUGAUGGAUAAUAUGUAAUUUAAUUGGGUCAUUAUCUUUCUCCCAAAUGCAUAUUGAGGCUCGAAGUAUGUCCCUAAAUCCCAAAAAUAUAACUCCACUAAUCUGUCUCUUGCAUAAGGUAGUUUUGUAGUGAAGUCUAAUUCUUUCCACCACCUGAAAUAAGAAUAUAUACAUGUGUCACGAUUCUAUUGAUUGGAUAUACGACGGAGGUAUAAAAGAAUUUCUCCCUAUCGAAAGAACUUACUUUGUUAAUUCAUUGAGUUCCUCCUUGUGCAGCUCUAGCAAUAUGUUAAAAUCUAACUUUGCAAAAUUCAGCAGAGUUUUAUUGUAUAAAUGAUCACUUGUUGAAUUGAUCAUGGACAUAAAAUACCUCGCCUCUAAUCUUGGUAGGGUUUUACGAAGAGGACGGUAUAAAGCAUGAUUUAUCUGUUCCGCAAGCUUAGGGGUUACAUGAUCCUGAGCUACCAAUGACUUCAG